Triticum aestivum (bread wheat) is the source of this 760-nucleotide long non-coding RNA. RefSeq lists it as uncharacterized. The record is from RefSeq and is a predicted model, not a curated record. Lineage: Eukaryota; Viridiplantae; Streptophyta; Magnoliopsida; Poales; Poaceae. The transcript has 3 exons.
ACAACCCAGCCUUUCCGGAUCCAAUCCUCCUCCCUCUCCCCCAACCACCCACCGCGACCGCUCCGCUACUCCAGUCUCCCAAUCAGUGCCGCUCCGCCGCUCCAGUCUCCCAAUCAGCGCCGCUCCAUCUUCCCACCCACUGCCGUGGUGCCGCCGCUCCAGUCUCCCAAUCAGUGCUGCUCCCCUCACUUCCCACCCUAGGUCACAGAUGGAGUCGAGCAGGUCAGCGCCACGGCCAGACUCGCCACGGAUAAGCACCGUCGUCGAGCUGGAGCUGGGCCGCGGCAGAGGCCGACUUCUUCUCCACAAUCUGGUGCAGGGAGAGGAGGCCACUGCUUCCUCCGGCGUGUGCUUCUUCUCGGGAUGACAUGGAGCUUCUCAAGGUCCCCUCUUCUUCCUCCCCGCAUCUCUCUCUCCGUUGGAUGCGAUUCGGCAGGCGUGGUUCCCUGCCUGAUUUGGUGUCCUCACGCAUGUAGGUGACAGCCAUGUGGUGCGCGCGCGGAUUCUUCCUCAACUUCGGCGCCUUCCGCCCUCCCCCUUUGCUGGCCAGGCCGAUUGAUUCUUCAUGGAGAUGCAGGUCGAGCAGCAGAUGUUUCCGCCUCCGUUCAUGGGGUAGCUAGAUGGAUCAUGUAUGAGGAUGGAUCAGAACGGGAUGAUGGUGGUGAAGAUGAUGGUGAAGCAUCAGAGGAUGAUGGUGCCCGGGAUAAAGUGAAGAAAAAGAAGAAAAGAUUACUAGAAGAUUAGUUUUAGGAUUUUCUUU